This 252-nucleotide ribosomal RNA is filed under the name uncultured bacterium. RNAcentral describes it as "partial 16S ribosomal RNA". It matches the Rfam family "Bacterial small subunit ribosomal RNA", at positions 524 to 776 of the family's 1533-position model. The record is from RNAcentral.
UACGGGGGGAGCAAGCGUUGUUCGGAUUUACUGGGCGUAAAGGGCGCGUAGGCGGUCGUGACAAGUCACUUGUGAAAUCUCCGGGCUUAACUCGGAACGGUCAAGUGAUACUGUCGGACUAGAGUACAGAAGGGCAACUGGAAUUCUCGGUGUAGCGGUGAAAUGCGUAGAUAUCGAGAGGAACACCUGCGGCGAAGGCGGGUUGCUGGCUGAUACUGACGCUGAGGCGCGAAAGCGCGGGGAGCGAACGGG